This 460-nucleotide ribosomal RNA is filed under the name uncultured bacterium. Its description in RNAcentral is "partial 16S ribosomal RNA". It matches the Rfam family "Bacterial small subunit ribosomal RNA", at positions 338 to 795 of the family's 1533-position model. The record is from RNAcentral.
CCUACGGGAGGCAGCAGUGAGGAAUAUUGGUCAAUGGACGAGAGUCUGAACCAGCCAAGUAGCGUGAAGGAUGACUGCCCUAUGGGUUGUAAACUUCUUUUAUAUGGGAAUAAAAUGUUCCACGUGUGGGAUUUUGUAUGUACCAUAUGAAUAAGGAUCGGCUAACUCCGUGCCAGCAGCCGCGGUAAUACGGAGGAUCCGAGCGUUAUCCGGAUUUAUUGGGUUUAAAGGGAGCGUAGGUGGAUUGUUAAGUCAGUUGUGAAAGUUUGCGGCUCAACCGUAAAAUUGCAGUUGAAACUGGCAGUCUUGAGUACAGUAGAGGUGGGCGGAAUUCGUGGGGUAGCGGUGAAAGGCUUAGAUAUCACGAAGAACUCCGAUUGCGAAGGCAGCUCACUGGACUGCAACUGACACUGAGGCUCGAAAGUGUGGGUAUCAAACAGGAUUAGAUACCCUUGUAGUC